This 336-nucleotide ribosomal RNA is filed under the name uncultured Auriculariales. Its description in RNAcentral is "eukaryotic LSU rRNA". The stretch from base 281 to 336 matches the Rfam family "Eukaryotic large subunit ribosomal RNA", at positions 1 to 56 of the family's 3401-position model. Lineage: Eukaryota; Fungi; Basidiomycota; Agaricomycetes; Auriculariales. The record is from RNAcentral.
CGACGUGACUGUGAAUCAUCGAAUCUUUGAACGCAAAUUGCACCCGACGGGUUUACUUGUCGGGUCUGCCUGUCUGAGUAUCACUACGUUCCCAAUUGCUCAUCAGUAAUUGGCUGCUUGUCUACGGACAGAUAUGGGUGUUUGAUUCCUACGGGGUCAAUCGUCUGAAAUCCAUGUGUCUGGAGGACCCAUGUGCCUGGCAUUGUUAAUCAUCCACGGAUGUUCAUUGCUAUCUGCACACCCCCAGUUCACCUUUGUGCUAAACUCAACCCUUAACCUUUGAUCUCAGAUCAGGCAGGAUGACCCGCUGAACUUAAGCAUAUCAAUAAGCGGAGG